UAUUGGUCAAUGGGCGGGAGCCUGAACCAGCCAAGUCGCGUGAGGGAGUAAGGCCCUACGGGUCGUAAACCUCUUUUGCCGGGGAGCAGGGCGGCGGACGUGUCCGCCGCUUGAGAGUACCCGGCGAAAAAGCAUCGGCUACCCCCGUGCCAGCAGCCGCAGUAAUACGGAGGAUGCGAGCGUUAUCCGGAUUCAUUGGGUUUAAAGGGUGCGUAGGCGGGCUUUUAAGUCAGCGGUAAAAAUUCGGGGCUCAACCCCGUCCGGCCGUUGAAACUGGGAGCCUUGAGUGGGCGAGAAGAAGGCGGAAUGCGUGGUGUAACGGUGAAAUGCAUAGAUAUCACGCAGAACCCCGAUUGCGAAGGCAGCCUUCCGGCGCCCUACUGACGCUGAGGCACGAAAGUGCGGGGAUCGAACAGGA
RNAcentral lists this ribosomal RNA (418 nucleotides) under uncultured bacterium. RNAcentral describes it as "bacterial SSU rRNA". It matches the Rfam family "Bacterial small subunit ribosomal RNA", at positions 362 to 777 of the family's 1533-position model. The record is from RNAcentral.